This 253-nucleotide ribosomal RNA is filed under the name uncultured bacterium. RNAcentral's name for it is "partial 16S ribosomal RNA". It matches the Rfam family "Bacterial small subunit ribosomal RNA", at positions 524 to 776 of the family's 1533-position model. The record is from RNAcentral.
UACAGAGGGGGCAAGCGUUGUUCGGAAUUACUGGGCGUAAAGGGCGCGUAGGCGGCCUGCUAAGUCGAACGUGAAAUCCCUGGGCUCAACCCAGGAACUGCGUCCGAUACUGGUUGGCUUGAAUCCGGGAGAGGGAUGUGGAAUUCCAGGUGUAGCGGUGAAAUGCGUAGAUAUCAGGAGGAACACCGGUGGCGAAGGCGGGUCUCUGGGCCGAUAUUGACGCUGAGGAGCGAAAGCGUGGGGAGCGAACAGG